Pelobates cultripes (western spadefoot toad) is the source of this 223-nucleotide non-coding RNA. The record is from the annotation of a GenBank genome assembly. NCBI's taxonomy places the organism in Eukaryota, Metazoa, Chordata, Amphibia, Anura, Pelobatidae.
CAGUUCCUGUGCUUCCUGGCUGAUGUUUUGGUCACUUUUGAAUGCUGGCGGUGCUUUCACUCUAAUGGUAGCAUGAGACGGAGUCUACAACCCACACAAGUGGCUCAGGUAGUGCAGCUCAUCCAGGAUGGCACAUCAACGCGGGCUGUGACAAGGUGGUUUGCGGUGUCUGUCAGCGUAGUGUUCAGAGCAUGGAGGCGCUACCAGGAGACAGGCCAGUACA